Molecule: unclassified non-coding RNA, 177 nt
Filed under: uncultured fungus
Lineage: Eukaryota; Fungi
Description: sequence contains ITS1, 5.8S rRNA gene
Source: RNAcentral
CCGAGUUUUUUGGCUUCUGUCAAAACUCCCACCCUUUGUUUAUUAUGUCUUCUUCGGCAUGACGAUUUGUUGGUUGCAAGACUAACAAGCCACUGGUUUUGGCGACAAAACGAGUGAGUGCUUGCCGAAGGCCUUUAACUCUAUAUUUUGAAGUCUGAGUCUAAAGAAAAUAAAUUA